Molecule: ribosomal RNA, 1434 nt
Filed under: uncultured bacterium
Lineage: Bacteria
Description: bacterial SSU rRNA
Rfam family: Bacterial small subunit ribosomal RNA
Source: RNAcentral
GACGAACGCUGGCGGCACGCUUAACACAUGCAAGUCGAACGAGAGAAGAGAAGCUUGCUUUUCUGAUCUAGUGGCGGACGGGUGAGUAACACGUGAGCAAUCUGCCUUUCAGAGGGGGAUACCGAUUGGAAACGAUCGUUAAUACCGCAUAAUAUAAUUGAACCGCAUGAUUUGAUUAUCAAAGAUUUAUCGCUGAAAGAUGAGCUCGCGUCUGAUUAGCUAGUUGGUAAGGUAACGGCUUACCAAGGCGACGAUCAGUAGCCGGACUGAGAGGUUGAUCGGCCACAUUGGGACUGAGACACGGCCCAGACUCCUACGGGAGGCAGCAGUGGGGAAUAUUGCACAAUGGAGGAAACUCUGAUGCAGCGAUGCCGCGUGAGGGAAGAAGGUUUUAGGAUUGUAAACCUCUGUCUUCAGGGACGAAAAAAGACGGUACCUGAGGAGGAAGCUCCGGCUAACUACGUGCCAGCAGCCGCGGUAAUACGUAGGGAGCGAGCGUUGUCCGGAAUUACUGGGUGUAAAGGGAGCGUAGGCGGGACCGCAAGUCAGAUGUGAAAACUAUGGGCUUAACCCAUAAACUGCAUUUGAAACUGUGGUUCUUGAGUGAAGUAGAGGUAAGCGGAAUUCCUAGUGUAGCGGUGAAAUGCGUAGAUAUUAGGAGGAACAUCAGUGGCGAAGGCGGCUUACUGGGCUUUAACUGACGCUGAGGCUCGAAAGCGUGGGGAGCAAACAGGAUUAGAUACCCUGGUAGUCCACGCCGUAAACGAUGAUUACUAGGUGUGGGGGGACUGACCCCUUCCGUGCCGCAGCAAACGCAAUAAGUAAUCCACCUGGGGAGUACGACCGCAAGGUUGAAACUCAAAGGAAUUGACGGGGGCCCGCACAAGCAGUGGAGUAUGUGGAUUAAUUCGAAGCAACGCGAAGAACCUUACCAGGUCUUGACAUCGUAUGCAUAGCUCAGAGAUGAGUGAAAUCUCUUCGGAGACAUAUAGACAGGUGGUGCAUGGUUGUCGUCAGCUCGUGUCGUGAGAUGUUGGGUUAAGUCCCGCAACGAGCGCAACCCUUACUGUUAGUUGCUACGCAAGAGCACUCUAGCAGGACUGCCGUUGACAAAACGGAGGAAGGUGGGGAUGACGUCAAAUCAUCAUGCCCCUUAUGACCUGGGCCUCACACGUACUACAAUGGCUGUCAACAGAGGGAAGCAAAGCCGCGAGGUGGAGCGAACCCCUAAAAGCAGUCUUAGUUCGGAUUGUAGGCUGCAACCCGCCUACAUGAAGUCGGAAUUGCUAGUAAUCGCAGAUCAGCAUGCUGCGGUGAAUACGUUCCCGGGCCUUGUACACACCGCCCGUCACGCCAUGGGAGUCGGUAACACCCGAAGCCUGUAGUCUAACCGCAAGGAGGACGCAGUCGAAGGUGGGAUUGAUGACUGGGGUG